CAGAUGUGAAAGACCCGGGGCGUCAACCUCCGGAAUAGCAUUUGUAAACUAGGCAGACUAGAGUACUGUAGAGGGGGGUAGGAAUUUCAGGUGUAGCGGUGAAAUAGCGUAGAGAUCUGAAGGAAUACCGGUGGCGAAGGCGGCCCCCUCGGACAGAUACUGACACUCAGAUGCGAAAGCGUGGGGAGCAAACAGGAUUAGAUACCCUGGUAG
Molecule: ribosomal RNA, 213 nt
Filed under: uncultured bacterium
Lineage: Bacteria
Description: partial 16S ribosomal RNA
Rfam family: Bacterial small subunit ribosomal RNA
Source: RNAcentral